Molecule: ribosomal RNA, 506 nt
Filed under: uncultured bacterium
Lineage: Bacteria
Description: partial 16S ribosomal RNA
Rfam family: Bacterial small subunit ribosomal RNA
Source: RNAcentral
AGUGAACGCUGGCGGUAGGCCUAACACAUGCAAGUCGAACGGCAGCACAGGAGAGCUUGCUCUCUGGGUGGCGAGUGGCGGACGGGUGAGGAAUACAUCGGAAUCUACUCUGUCGUGGGGGAUAACGUAGGGAAACUUACGCUAAUACCGCAUACGACCUACGGGUGAAAGCAGGGGACCUUCGGGCCUUGCGCGAUUGAAUGAGCCGAUGUCGGAUUAGCUAGUUGGCGGGGUAAAGGCCCACCAAGGCGACGAUCCGUAGCUGGUCUGAGGGGCUGAUCAGCCACACUGGAACUGAGACACGGUCCAGACUCCUACGGGAGGCAGAAGUGGGGAAUAUUGGACAAUGGGCGCAAGCCUGGUCCAGCCAUGCCGCGUGGGUGAAGAAGGCCUUCGGGUUGUAAAGCCCUUUUGUUGGGAAAGAAAUCCAGCUGGCUAAUACCCGGUUGGGAUGACGGUACCCAAAGAAUAAGCACCGGCUAACUUCGUGCCAGCCGCCGCCGUAA